RNAcentral lists this ribosomal RNA (224 nucleotides) under uncultured prokaryote. RNAcentral describes it as "partial 16S ribosomal RNA". It matches the Rfam family "Bacterial small subunit ribosomal RNA", at positions 524 to 747 of the family's 1533-position model. The record is from RNAcentral.
UACGUAGGCAGCGAGCGUUGUUCGGAGUUACUGGGCGUAAAGAGCGUGUAGGCGGCCAGACAGGUCCGUUGUGAAAACUCGAGGCUCAACCUCGAGACGCCGAUGGAAACCGUCUGGCUAGAGUCCGGAAGAGGAGAGUGGAAUUCCCGGUGUAGCGGUGAAAUGCGCAGAUAUCGGGAAGAACACCCGUGGCUAAGGCGGCUCUCUAGUACGGUACUGACGCU